This 484-nucleotide ribosomal RNA is filed under the name uncultured bacterium. Its description in RNAcentral is "partial 16S ribosomal RNA". It matches the Rfam family "Bacterial small subunit ribosomal RNA", at positions 30 to 507 of the family's 1533-position model. The record is from RNAcentral.
AUUGAACGCUGGCGGCAUGCUUUACACAUGCAAUUCGAACGGCAGCGCGGGCUUCGGCCUGUCGGCGUGUGGCGAAUGGGUGUGUAAUGCAUCGGAACGUGCCCAUUAGUGGGGGAUAUCCCGGCGAAAGCCGGAUUAAUACCGCAUACGACCUGAGGGUUAAAGCGGGGGAUCGAAAGGCCUUUCGCUUUUGGAGCGUCCGAUGUCGGAUUAGCUAGUUGGUGGGGUAAAGGCUUACCAAGGCGACGAUCCGUAGCUGGUCUGAGAGGACGACCAGCCACACUGGGACUGAGACACGGCCAAGAAUCCUACGGGAGGCAGCAGUGGGGAAUUUUGGACAAUGGGGGCAACCCUGAUCCAGCCAUGCCGCGUGCGGGAAGAAGGCCUUCGGGUUGUAAACCGCUUUUGUUAGGGAAGAAAGCCUCUGGGCUAAUACCCCGGGGGGAUGACGGUACCGGAAGAAUAAGCACCGGCUAACUACGUA